AUGGAGUUCGACGACGCCUACCUCCGGGCGAUCGGCACACUCCCUCCUCUUCCGACUGUCCACCUCGCUCCCACCCACCUCGACCGCGCCGGCGCACUCGAAGAUUCCGAGGAACUCCCGGCGACGCUGUAUGCCGCCGCACUCGAUGCCCAUCUUUUUCACCCGCCGUUCUUGGUGCCCUUGCCGUCCCUGCUUCCGGACCGCGUCGUCCCGGACUCCAAGAACACGGCGGCACGCCCGCAUCUGUCCGGCUUCGGAUUCGCUCCCACGCCCGUCGAUCACGCCGCCGCAAUCGAAUGUUCCGUGGAGCUCCCGGCGACGUGCGAGCUGUACGCCGCCGCACUCGACGCCCAUCUUUUUCACCCAUCCUUCGAGGUGCCCGCACCGUCCCUGCUCCCGGACCGCGUCGUCCCGGACUGCAAGAACUCGGCCACGCGCCCGCGGCUCUCCGACUACGACAUUGACAUCGACUUCAACCUCCGGGAGAUGGAGAAGAACGUCGAGGAGCGGCCUUUGCCGGACUACCUGAAGACGGUGCAGGGGGGUCGGAUGAGCCCAUCGAUGCGUGCCACCCUCAUCUUCUGGAUGGACGACUUCACCCGGCACUACGACCUGGCCCCUGGCACGCUUCACCGUGCCGUCUCCUACGUCGACCGCGUCCUGUCGGCGCGAACCUUGUCUACGGCUCGCAUGGACAUGGAGUAUGAGCUCCGUCUCCUGGGCGCCACGGCCGUCUUCACCGCCGCCAAAUACGAGGAGCGGGGCACCAGAUUCAAGGUGAACGCCGCGAAAAUUGCCGACGACUGUGGGUUCGCCACGAGCAAGGAGGUGACCGACAUGGAGUGCAACAUGUUUGCGGCACUCCGGUACGAGCUCAGCGGACCAACGGCCUACACCUUCGUGGACCACUUCACCAGGUACAGCAAAGGAGAGAGCGACCUGGAGGUUCAGAAGUUGGCGCAUCAGCUCGCCGAAACAUCGCUGGUCGACUACAGAUGCCUGCAGCUCCUGCCGUCCGCCGUGGCGGCGUCGGCGGUCUUUCUCGCCAGGCUGAUCUUGAAUCCAACGGCCAGCCAGAAGUGGAACAGAGAAUUCACGGAGCUGACAGGGUACAAGCCCACGGACCUCAUCCUUGGCAUUCAGUCCUUGUACAUGAUGAAUCCCGAUCCUCGCUUCGUGGUCUUGCCAGAGUUCUUGUAA
This 1200-nucleotide ribosomal RNA is filed under the name Triticum aestivum (bread wheat). RNAcentral's name for it is "partial small subunit ribosomal RNA". The record is from RNAcentral. Lineage: Eukaryota; Viridiplantae; Streptophyta; Magnoliopsida; Poales; Poaceae.